AACGCGAAGAACCUUACCAAGGCUUGACAUGGACUGGAAAUACCUGGAAACAGGUGCCCCGCUUGCGGCCGGUUCACAGGUGGUGCAUGGUUGUCGUCAGCUCGUGUCGUGAGAUGUUGGGUUAAGUCCCGCAACGAGCGCAACCCUCGUUCUAUGUUGCCAGCACGUGAUGGUGGGGACUCAUAGGAGACUGCCGGGGUCAACUCGGAGGAAGGUGGGGACGACGUCAAAUCAUCAUGCCCCUUAUGUCUUGGGCUUCACGCAUGCUACAAUGGCCGGUACAAAGGGCUGCUAUCCCGCGAGGGUGAGCGAAUCCCAAAAAGCCGGUCUCAGUUCGGAUCGGAGUCUGCAACUCGACUCCGUGAAGCUGGAGUCGCUAGUAAUCCCGGAUCAGCAACGCCGGGGUGAAUACGUUCCCGGGCCUUGUACACACCG
RNAcentral lists this ribosomal RNA (435 nucleotides) under uncultured bacterium. RNAcentral describes it as "bacterial SSU rRNA". It matches the Rfam family "Bacterial small subunit ribosomal RNA", at positions 958 to 1392 of the family's 1533-position model. The record is from RNAcentral.